This 623-nucleotide ribosomal RNA is filed under the name uncultured bacterium. RNAcentral's name for it is "bacterial SSU rRNA". It matches the Rfam family "Bacterial small subunit ribosomal RNA", at positions 8 to 677 of the family's 1533-position model. The record is from RNAcentral.
AGAGUUUGAUCCUGGCUCAGAACGAACGCUGGCGGCAGGCCUAAAACAUGCAAGUCGAGCGGUCCCUUCGGGGACAGCGGCGCACGGGUGAGUAACGCGUGGGAACGUGCCCCUGGGUGCGGGACAACCACUGGAAACGGUGGCUAAUACCGCAUAAUGACUCCGGUCCAAAGAUUUAUCGCCCAGGGAUCGGCCCGCGUCUGAUUAGGUAGUUGGUGGGGUAACGGCCUACCAAGCCGACGAUCAGUAGCUGGUCUGAGAGGAUGAUCAGCCACACUGGGACUGAGACACGGCCCAGACUCCUACGGGAGGCAGCAGUUAGGAAUAUUGGACAAUGGGCGAAAGCCUGAUCCAGCCAUGCCGCGUGAGUGAUGAAGGCCUUCGGGUUGUAAAGCUCCUUCAGAUGUGACGAUGAUGACGGUAGCAUCAGAAGAAGCCCCGGCUAAAUUCGUGCCAGCAGCCGCGGUAAUACGAAUGGGGCGAGCGUUGUUCGGAAUCACUGGGCGUAAAGCGUGCGCAGGCGGUUAUUCAAGUCAGAAGUGAAAUCCCAGGGCUUAACCUUGGAACUGCUUUUGGAACUGGAUAACUAGAGUCCCGGAGAGGUUAGCGGAAUUCCGAGUGUA